UGUGUAGGCGGUUCUUUAAGUUUGCUGUGAAAUCUCCCGGCUUAACCGGGAGGGUGCGGUGAAUACUGAGGGACUAGAGUACGGGAGAGGAAAGUGGAAUUCCUGGUGUAGCGGUGAAAUGCGUAGAUAUCAGGAGGAACACCGGUGGUGUAGACGGCUUUCUGGACCGUAACUGACGCUGAAACACGAAAGCGUGGGUAGCAAACG
Molecule: ribosomal RNA, 207 nt
Filed under: uncultured bacterium
Lineage: Bacteria
Description: partial 16S ribosomal RNA
Rfam family: Bacterial small subunit ribosomal RNA
Source: RNAcentral